This 71-nucleotide transfer RNA is filed under the name Loxodonta africana (African savanna elephant). It matches the Rfam family "tRNA". From Rfam's summary of the family: Transfer RNA (tRNA) molecules are approximately 80 nucleotides in length. Their secondary structure includes four short double-helical elements and three loops (D, anti-codon, and T loops). Further hydrogen bonds mediate the characteristic L-shaped molecular structure. tRNAs have two regions of fundamental functional importance: the anti-codon, which is responsible for specific mRNA codon recognition, and the 3' end, to which the tRNAs corresponding amino acid is attached (by aminoacyl-tRNA synthetases). tRNAs cope with the degeneracy of the genetic code in two manners: having more than one tRNA (with a specific anti-codon) for a particular amino acid; and 'wobble' base-pairing, i.e. permitting non-standard base-pairing at the 3rd anti-codon position. The record is from Rfam by way of RNAcentral. Lineage: Eukaryota; Metazoa; Chordata; Mammalia; Proboscidea; Elephantidae.
GCAGUGGUGGUUCAGUGGCAGAAUUCUUGCCUUCCAAGUGGGAAACGCAGGUUCAAUUCCUUGUCAAUGCA